CCUACGGGGGGCUGCAGUGGGGAAUAUUGGACAAUGGGCGAAAGCCUGAUCCAGCCAUGCCGCGUGUGUGAAGAAGGCCUUCGGGUUGUAAAGCACUUUCAGUGGGGAAGAAAGCCUUGGGGCUAAUACCCUCGAGGAAGGACAUCACCCACAGAAGAAGCACCGGCUAACUCCGUGCCAGCAGCCGCGGUAAUACGGAGGGUGCGAGCGUUAAUCGGAAUUACUGGGCGUAAAGCGCGCGUAGGCGGUCUGAUAAGCCGGUUGUGAAAGCCCCGGGCUCAACCUGGGAACGGCAUCCGGAACUGUCAGGCUAGAGUGCAGGAGAGGAAGGUAGAAUUCCCGGUGUAGCGGUGAAAUGCGUAGAGAUCGGGAGGAAUACCAGUGGCGAAGGCAGCCUUCUGGACUGACACUGACGCUGAGGUGCGAAAGCGUGGGUAGCAAACAGGAUUAGAUACCCGUGUAGUC
Molecule: ribosomal RNA, 465 nt
Filed under: Vreelandella stevensii
Lineage: Bacteria; Pseudomonadati; Pseudomonadota; Gammaproteobacteria; Oceanospirillales; Halomonadaceae
Description: partial 16S ribosomal RNA
Rfam family: Bacterial small subunit ribosomal RNA
Source: RNAcentral